This 71-nucleotide transfer RNA is filed under the name Aleeta curvicosta. RNAcentral's name for it is "tRNA-Lys". The record is from RNAcentral. Lineage: Eukaryota; Metazoa; Arthropoda; Insecta; Hemiptera; Cicadidae.
CAUUAAGUGACUGAAAAGUAGGUAAUGGUCUCUUAAACCGAUUUAUAAUAACUAACGAUUAUUCUUAAUGA